CAUUAAGAAGCUAGUAGCACUAACCUUUUAAGUUAGAGAUAGAGAAAUAGGAAUUUCUCCUUAAUGA
Molecule: transfer RNA, 67 nt
Filed under: Smutsia temminckii (ground pangolin)
Lineage: Eukaryota; Metazoa; Chordata; Mammalia; Pholidota; Manidae
Description: Manis temminckii (ground pangolin) tRNA-Lys
Source: RNAcentral